CGAGGAAUCUUGGGCAAUGAGCGAAAGCCUGACCCAGCGACGCCGCGUGAGGGAUGAAGGCCUUCGGGUCGUAAACCUCUUUUAUGGGAGAAGAAGUUCUGACGGUAUCCCAUGAAUAAGCCACGGCUAACUACGUGCCAGCAGCCGCGGUAAUACGUAGGUGGCAAGCGUUGUCCGGAUUUACUGGGCGUAAAGGGCUUGUAGGCGGUUCGUUAAGUCCGGUGUGAAAUCUCCCGGCUCAACCGGGAUAGGUCACUGGAUACUGGCGAACUAGAGGGGGGUAGAGGAGAGCAGAAUUCCUGGUGUAGCGGUGAAAUGCGUAGAUAUCAGGAGGAAUACCAGUGGCGAAGGCGGCUCUCUGGGCCUACCCUGACGCUGAGGAGCGAAAGCGUGGGGAGCAAACCGGAUUAGAUACCCGGGUAGUCCACGCCCUAAACGGUGGAUGCUAGGUGUGGGGGUGUCGACCCCUCCGUGCCGCAGCUAACGCUUUAAGCAUCCCGCCUGGGGAGUACGGCCGACG
This 520-nucleotide ribosomal RNA is filed under the name uncultured bacterium. Its description in RNAcentral is "bacterial SSU rRNA". It matches the Rfam family "Bacterial small subunit ribosomal RNA", at positions 355 to 891 of the family's 1533-position model. The record is from RNAcentral.